CACAAAUUUAAAGUGAGCCAAUUUGCCAUUGAUUGUGUGGUUUUUCUAUAGUUAUUUUCAGCUGCAGAGGUAAAGGCAGGGCAAAUGAAAAGAGUUUUAUUUAAGCAAUCUUGUGAUUGUUGACAAGUAGAAAUGGUGGAACAAGAGAAGUCAGAGUUAAGGAUUUUUCCAAGGGAAGGAUUUCAAUGAUUCCUGUGAAGAUAUAAAUUAGACUAAAAAGCAUGAUGGGGAGUGUGGAAAGUAAAACGGAGUAGGAUCAGUGAGUUAAAGAUAUCAGUGUUUUUGCAAGCAUUAUAUAUUAGGAAAGAACUGAUGGGCAGAAAUUGGGAAUGCUUAUAAUUAAAACCAUUAAAAGAGUAAUACAGCUACUGAUAAAGACAGGUCCUCAGUUAUAUCCAUGAAAGUAAGUGGCUGAGAUGGAAUGAAGGAAGACAUCAUAUAGAUGGGAAGAGUUUAUGGAACUUGACAGCCCAGAUAACAGAAAGCAUACUCUGUAGGGAUGUUAAAAUUACUCAGAAAUGUAAUAAGAUUGGUUGUUUGAUAAAGGGAAGGAAUAAAUGUAAUACUAAAGAUCCAGGGAACAAGGUCUAGGGCAUUCCAGCUUUAAAGAGGAGCGGAAAUUAGCAAAGAUGGAGAGUGGCCAACAGAAGCCAACAGAGUAUAGCCUAUCAUAAGGAGAUGAAGAAAUUAGUUUAGAUAAAAGGAGUAAUCAACUAUGGCAAAUGCACAAAAACAGUAAGUCAACAGUGAAAAUAUUCAAAGAAUGGGUUAUGGUGACCAAGAAGUUUUUUCCAAGGUUAGAGAAAAGAGAGCUGAGAGCUUUCAUGUGAAAGGAGUUUUAUGUGUGAUUAGGGAUAGGGUAAUGAAUGGGGUAUUUGUGAGAAAUUAAAGAUGAGAAAAAAAGAAGAUACAGGACAAGUGCUGUGUGAUGGAAGGGUCAAGAGAAGACUGCCAGCCAUGGGUGGCAACAGGUUUUUGAAAGAACAUAACUAACUGUCUGAGUGGUAUUGUUGCUGUGUGGCUUGCUGUCCACUGAUUUCUAUGGCCCUGUCUAUUAUGCCCAGCCCUGGAAUAAAAUCUAUCUGAUUCAAAAACACUUUAAUAAUACUUUUCCACAAUUCUUUAAUACACAUAUAAAAUUUUAAUAUUAUUGUGUGUAAUCUUAUCAAAUGACUCUUCCACAUUUUGGUUGCCAUAGGAGUGGUUAAAGACUAACAGAAAGAAGGAAGGACUCAGGAGGCAAAGGAGGUCAGAGAAUGUAAGCCCCCUAUAAAUUCAAUGAAUUUCAGGAGGGCUUUGAAAAUCUCCAGGUUGGAAACAUAAUGGGUUGUGAGUCUGGGAAAUUUUAGCCAAAUUUCUUUGCAUAUCAAGGAGCC
RNAcentral lists this long non-coding RNA (1376 nucleotides) under Marmota monax (woodchuck). Lineage: Eukaryota; Metazoa; Chordata; Mammalia; Rodentia; Sciuridae. The record is from RNAcentral.